UAAAGGCUGUUACAACUAAAUAACUCUCUAGGGUUAAAUGUUCGAUCUGUUCCCACUUCCCCAGCCACAUUUCUUCCUCACUCCUCUUCUCUUUCUCUCUCCUCAAACCACUCUCUCUUUCCGCAUUUCUCUUCUUCCUCACUCAUCUGCUCUUUCUCUCUCCUCAAAUCACUCACUCUCUCUACUCAAACCAGAAAAAUGUCAAUAGCUAAAACUCACGAGUGAUUUGCUCAAGAAUAUUAGGGAGAUCGAGGCCAAUGAGACAUUAUCUGAGCCUGAAAAGGCGAAGAAGUGUCAGCAGCUUCUGGGUGGGAUUAGAUCCGGAGCAAGCAUCGAUUGCCCAUAACCACCGUCGCCGCCGUCGUCAAUUUGAACCAAAUACAAUAACAACAACAAACUUGAAUCAAUUAUUGAUUCAAAAAUCAGAAAUUUGAUGAUAGGGUUUCUGGGUUCUUUAGCUUUGCGUUUUGGUCCAAUUAUUCAGGUUAAAUGCAUUCAUUUUUUGGGUUUAAUUUAUGUAAUAUUGUUUGAAAAAUUACUCCAUUUUAACUCACAAUCCACUCUUCAAAUCCUAUUAUUUUAGGGUUAGGGUUUUUCUAAAUGGACCCAAUUGCUUUGGUUGUCGAUAAUUUAAAAUCAUUUGCAAAAUCUGGCCAAGAUCUUAUCACCGGCAUCACUCGCCGCCGGCAGAAUUAGUCCCGUCAAAAUCCAGUACAUUUAUUUGUUUCUUACUUCUAUUUUAAUUUCUGUAUAUUAUCAUUUUGUUUGGCCUUGUUAAUUCUCAAAUUUGAUGCUGCAAUGUUGUAAAAUGAUGAAUUUGAUCUUGUUUUCAGCUUAUUAUAUGCUAAUUUACAUUUUUUUUUUGUAAUUAUUGAUUUGAUAGUGUCAAAUUUGAUCUUAAUUGCUUGACUUGCUUUAGUUUAUGCCAAUUUUACUCAGAAAUUAUCAUUUUAGCCAGUACAAUUUGAUCUUUAUUUGAAGUUUUAUGGAAUAUAUGUUUGUUUUUUUUUUUGUUUUUCUUUUGAAAUUUGAUUAACUGAUUUUAAUAAGUAUAAAGUUCACUAUGAUGUACAUAUGUUCUUUACAGAGUAUGUGUUCCCUUGGAGGCUAACUCCCUUUUUAUUUGUAUUGCCAUUUGGAUUUUUUGAACAAUUGAACCCCAUAUAUGCACUUGAGUGCUGUUCCACAUUGGGAAAAAGAGCAAAGUACCUUUUUCCACUUCUAGGAAGUCACUUUAUCUAUUUCCAAUUGGCUUUAAGGCGAAGCCUCACUUAGUCUUAUCCCAGAUUGUUGCAAAUUGUGAUUACAUAUUUCAUCUUGUUGCUAUCAGAUAAUACUCAAUCGAUUUCUUUAUGUGACACUAGUUAUGUUUUAGUUGCAUUUGUAUGUGUUGCCAUUCACUGGCCCCUGAGGAGAUCAUGGAUUUGACACUAAAAUGAGUGUUUUUCCAGACAGAUGAUUUUGAUGUUGAUGUGCAUUUUCUUCUCCAGUCUUUUGAAAAUUUCUUUGCUUGUCUACCUUUUUUUAGGUACAAAGACGUCUUGCAAAAAAUUGUUAGGCUGCUCGCAAAAUUCGUAUGCGGAAAAGGUCUAUACUCAGCAAUUAGAGUUGAGCCAUUCAAAAUUGAUGCAAAUGGAGCAAGAACUUGAACGAGUGAGAUAACAGGGUACGCUUGUGAGCAAUGGUAUUGAUCCGCUUCCUUUCUCUGCCACUGUAAAUUAAGAUCUGCUAUUACUGGUCCCAUUGGAAAGGAGUGUGCCGAUUUGUGGCUAAGGAUUGCUAGUGCAGCCAAUGCCAUUGUCUAAGAGAUGUCGUUCAGAGUUUCCAAUUUUGUUUUGCUAUAAAUUCUGAAUGUUUAUAGUUGGAUAAAUGAACAAUGCCGGUUUGGUAGAAUGUGUUAAGUCAAUUUGUGAGUUUGCAAGAUAUUAGUUGAUUGUAUAUUAAUUUAUACUAUAUUUGUAUAAAAUAUAAAUAUCUCU
Molecule: long non-coding RNA, 1979 nt
Organism: Chenopodium quinoa (quinoa)
Lineage: Eukaryota; Viridiplantae; Streptophyta; Magnoliopsida; Caryophyllales; Amaranthaceae
Exons: 4
Source: RefSeq, a predicted model, not a curated record